This 1336-nucleotide ribosomal RNA is filed under the name uncultured archaeon. RNAcentral's name for it is "bacterial SSU rRNA". It matches the Rfam family "Archaeal small subunit ribosomal RNA", at positions 21 to 1338 of the family's 1478-position model. The record is from RNAcentral.
CCCGACCGCUAUCGGGGUAGGGCUAAGCCAUGCGAGUCGCGCGCCCGGGGGCGCCCGGGAGCGGCGCACGGCUCAGUAACACGUGCCCAACCUACCCUCGGGAGGGGGACACCCCCGGGAAACUGGGGCCAAUCCCCCAUAGGGGAAGGGCGCUGGAAGGCCCCCUCCCCGAAAGGACGGCGGCCGAUCCGCCGCCGCCCGCCCGAGGAUGGGGGCACGGCCCAUCAGGUAGUUGGCGGGUUAAAGGCCCGCCAAGCCGAAGACGGGUAGGGGCGGUGAGAGCCGCGAGCCCCGAGAUCGGCACUGAGACAAGGGCCGAGGCCCUACGGGGUGCAGCAGGCGCGAAUACUCCGCAAUGCGGGCAACCGCGACGGGGCUACCCCGAGUGCCGGGCGAAGAGCCCGGCUUUUGCCCGGUCUAAAACGCCGGGAGAAUAAGCGGGGGGCAAGUCUGGUGUCAGCCGCCGCGGUAAUACCAGCUCCGCGAGUGGUCGGGGUGUUUACUGGGCUUAAAGCGCCCGUAGCCGGCCCGGCAAGUCGCUCCUGAAAUCCCAGGGCUCAACCCUGGGGCAGGGGGCGAUACUGCCGGGCUAGGGGGCGGAAGAGGCCGCCGGUACCCCAGGGGUAGGGGCGAAAUCCGAUAAUCCCUGGGGGACCACCAGUGGCGAAGGCGCCCGGCUGGAACGCGCCCGACGGUGAGGGGCGAAAGCCGGGGGAGCGAACCGGAUUAGAUACCCGGGUAGUCCCGGCUGUAAACUAUGCGGGCCAGGUGUCGGGCGGGCGUUAGAGCCCGCCCGGUGCCGCAGGGAAGCCGUUAAGCCCGCCGCCUGGGGAGUACGGCCGCAAGGCUGAAACUUAAAGGAAUUGGCGGGGGGGCACACAAGGGGUGGAGCCUGCGGCUCAAUUGGAGUCAACGCCGGGAACCUCUACCGGGGGCGACAGCAGGAUGACGGCCAGGCUAACGACCUUGCCCGACGCGCUGAGGGGAGGUGCAUGGCCGUCGCCAGCUCGUGCUGUGAAGUGUCCUGUUAAGUCAGGCAACGAGCGAGACCCCCGCCCCUAGUUGCGACCCUGCGGGCGACCGCGGGGGCACACUAGGGGGACUGCCGCCGCUAAGGCGGAGGAAGGAGGGGGCCACGGCAGGUCAGCAUGCCCCUAAACCCCCGGGCUGCACGCGGGCUACAAUGGCGGGGACAGCGGGAUCCGACCCCGAAAGGGGGAGGCAAUCCCUGAAACCCCGCCGUAGUUGGGAUCGGGGGCUGAAACUCGCCCCCGUGAACCUGGAAUCCCUAGUAACCGCGCGUCAUCAUCGCGCGGUGAAUACGUCCCUGCCCCUU